GGAAGAGAGUGCAUCACACACGCGGAGGUCUACAGGAGACUGCCCUUUCCUCUUUGGCAAGAUUGUACCUGGAAGGGGGUUGGUGAGGAGUGAUCAGGCUGGUAUGGGGGAACGUGUGGGGACAAGGAGGCCCCUCUUGCCUGGCUGGUGUGGGGAAUGAGGCCCGGUGCUGGGCCCAGAGGCACAAAAGCCUCUCCCCUUCAACUUUCCUCCCAAAUCAUUCUGGAGGUUGGACAAAGACUUCCACGGGGCCCCCUUCCCAAUGCCUGCGCCGGGGCUCGUUUGGCAGCCCCCACCCCACAGACGCGCCUCAGUCACUGUGUUCCCUGGGGGGGUGGGAAGGAGCCUGGGAGCCUCGGUGGGGCCUGCCGGCCGCGGGCUGGUUCCCAGAGGCCCUGGAGGGGGCCCGUUCACGGCUUCAGCACGAGGCCGUUGGGGGUGGGGGCAGCCUCCGCAGCGCGGCGUGUUUGCGCCGCUGACACUGUGGCAGGGUCACUGUGGAUAAAGGCGCUGCCCAGACCCGGGGCCCCGCCUGCAAAGGGGCUUUCUUGUCAGAGAGGAGCCUUUCUUCCCAGCGCACUGUGGGGCGGCGGCAGGGGGUCACCCGGAUAAUGGAGCUUCGGGCCAAUGGAGACGCAGGGCUCAGCCGGCCCCUCCCUGGCGGAGCGGGGAGGAGGGGAGACCGACUGGCUCAGAUCCGCCGCCACCUUGGCCAUGGCGCUCUGGGUGGAUUCAGAAGGGAGGACACAGUGGAGAGCCUGGGACUCCCACAAGCCUUCAGGUGUCUACGAAUCCAGCCACUGGCCUGACAGGAAGCUAGGGCCGGUCAUCCAGGGCUUCAGCUUCCAUGUCUGGCUGCCUCGUGCUCCUCAGGAGACCCCCCCACUCUGCCCCCACCGCGGGCCAGAGCGCACAGUCCGUUACAGCUGUGCCUCCCUCUGGCCCUGGCCAUUCAGCUGCUGCCUGCCUCUGUUCCCACAGCCACCACCUGACCUCGAGGCUUCUCCCUGCCCCUCCUGGACCAUCUCGUCUUCUAAACUGCAGCUGAGACCACAUUACCUUCCUGCUCAGACCUUGGGCUCCUUAUCUAAAAAAAUCAAGGUCAAACAGCUGCUCAUUGACCUGGCCCCUGAGGCCCUGUCUGUCUGUCCUCGCCUCACAAACUCUAGGUGGAUAUCAUUCUCAUCCACAAAUUCUAGGUUUCAUACAUACAUACAUGUUAUAAACUCCCAUGGCCCCAGAUCUUCAUUCAGGCCCCAACUGCUACCUAGAAUGAAUGCCCUUCUCACUUCUGUCUGGCGAACUCCUACUCAUCCUUCAAGGCCCAACUCGAAUGUCCCCUCCUUGGUAUAUCCUGCUUUCUACUUAUCCUCAGGCUUUGAUUCACAAUUCUUAUAACACCAAGGUAUGGCUAAUUUUGUCUACAUAACCCUCCCCAAUUAAACUGGAGUGUCGGGACUUUCUUGUCUUCUUCAUCGUUGGGCCUCCAGUGCCUAGCACAGAGUCUGUUACCAACAGGCUCCUGGUUUGGUGUUUUAUGAAUGAGGGAAUGAAUGAAUACAUUGUCUGCCCAUAAAAAUAACUUCCUCCUCUAUCCUAGAGGCUUUUACAACUCAGCGCGACACUCCCACAAGACCUUGGAAGUAGGAGGAAGUUACCAUGAUGCACAGGCUGUUCAGAUGCCUCUGAAACUAGAUAGAACCUAGAAUGAGACUGGUUAUGGGUCUCAGGUAGCUCUUAUAUCAACCUAGCCUCACAAAGGUCUUGGAGUUAUGCUCUACCUUGAGGUAAGAUGUAGUCAACCAUUGAAAGAU
Molecule: long non-coding RNA, 1814 nt
Organism: Sapajus apella (tufted capuchin)
Lineage: Eukaryota; Metazoa; Chordata; Mammalia; Primates; Cebidae
Exons: 2
Source: RefSeq, a predicted model, not a curated record